UACGUAGGGGGCAAGCGUUAUCCGGAUUUACUGGGUGUAAAGGGAGCGUAGGCGGCGAUGCAAGCCAGAUGUGAAAGCCCGGGGCUCAACCCCGGGACUGCAUUUGGAACUGUGUGGCUGGAGUGUCGGAGAGGCAAGUGGAAUUCCUAGUGUAGCGGUGAAAUGCGUAGAUAUUAGGAGGAACACCAGUGGCGAAGGCGGCUUGCUGGACGAUGACUGACGUUGAGGCUCGAAAGCGUGGGGAGCAAACAGG
Molecule: ribosomal RNA, 253 nt
Filed under: uncultured bacterium
Lineage: Bacteria
Description: partial 16S ribosomal RNA
Rfam family: Bacterial small subunit ribosomal RNA
Source: RNAcentral